This 75-nucleotide transfer RNA is filed under the name Camelus bactrianus (Bactrian camel). It matches the Rfam family "tRNA". Rfam says of the family: Transfer RNA (tRNA) molecules are approximately 80 nucleotides in length. Their secondary structure includes four short double-helical elements and three loops (D, anti-codon, and T loops). Further hydrogen bonds mediate the characteristic L-shaped molecular structure. tRNAs have two regions of fundamental functional importance: the anti-codon, which is responsible for specific mRNA codon recognition, and the 3' end, to which the tRNAs corresponding amino acid is attached (by aminoacyl-tRNA synthetases). tRNAs cope with the degeneracy of the genetic code in two manners: having more than one tRNA (with a specific anti-codon) for a particular amino acid; and 'wobble' base-pairing, i.e. permitting non-standard base-pairing at the 3rd anti-codon position. The record is from Rfam by way of RNAcentral. Lineage: Eukaryota; Metazoa; Chordata; Mammalia; Artiodactyla; Camelidae. RNAcentral also lists the same sequence under 2 other names.
GAGGGUAGAACUCAGUGGUAAGGCAUGUGCUUAUUAGCAUGCACAAGGUCCUGGGUUCAAUUCCCAGUACCUCUA